UACGAAGGAUCCAAGCGUUCUCCGGAUUUAUUGGGUUUAAAGGGUGCGUAGGUGGGCAGUUAAGUCAGUGGUGAAAUCUCCGAGCUUAACUCGGAAACUGCCAUUGAUACUAUCUGUCUUGAAUAUCCUGGAGGUGAGCGGAAUAUGUCAUGUAGCGGUGAAAUGCUUAGAUAUGACAUAGAACACCAAUUGCGAAGGCAGCUCACUACGGGAUUAUUGACACUGAGGCACGAAAGCGUGGGGAUCAAACAGG
RNAcentral lists this ribosomal RNA (253 nucleotides) under uncultured bacterium. RNAcentral's name for it is "partial 16S ribosomal RNA". It matches the Rfam family "Bacterial small subunit ribosomal RNA", at positions 524 to 776 of the family's 1533-position model. The record is from RNAcentral.